Molecule: long non-coding RNA, 433 nt
Filed under: Homo sapiens (human)
Lineage: Eukaryota; Metazoa; Chordata; Mammalia; Primates; Hominidae
Description: non-protein coding lnc-CFL2-1:2
Source: RNAcentral
AACGAACCAUUCUGUGCAACAGCCUUGUGUGGAGUUGUGCUGUGACGGGUAGACCUGGACUGACGUAUCAGGAAGCACUUGAGUCAGAAAAAAAAGCAAGACAGAAUCUUCAGAGUUUUCCAGAACCACUAAUUAUUCCAGUUUUAUACUUGACCAGCCUUACCCAUCGUUCGCGCUUACAUGAAAUUUGUGAUGAUAUCUUUGCAUAUGUCAAGGAUCGAUAUUUUGUCGAAGAAACUGUGGAAGUCAUUAGGAACAAUGGUGCAAGAGGAAAACUGAAGAUACACAGGAGGAGAAAUACAAUGCAACGGGAUAAAAGAAGAGGUUACAGGCUGGAAGAGAACCCUUCUGACAUCAGAAUAUGAACAAUUAUGAAGGAUAUGGACAUUUGAUGUUGAGAAGGAAGUCAAAGAGCCUAAGUGAAGAUCUCUUC